This is a non-coding RNA of Caretta caretta (loggerhead turtle), 899 nucleotides long. Lineage: Eukaryota; Metazoa; Chordata; Testudines; Cheloniidae. The record is from the annotation of a RefSeq genome assembly.
GUCAAUCCGAUCACUGGCAGCAGGAGUGUGUGUCUCUUAUAAAGCGGGGCAUGCAAAUGAGGGAGACAGUUUCCUCUUUAAAUCUCUGCCUCUCUCUGCCCAGGCUGCACCCGGAGACACAAUCCGCAGCCCCCUGGGUCGGUGCAGUCACCAGCCAGUCCCCUGAGAACUUUCCCCUCCAGCACCCGGGAAAAUGGGAUUUUUGCUCCUUGUCAUUGUCGCUGUAGCAGCUUUGGAAGGUGUCCGGUCCCAGACGCUGGUGGAGUCCGGAGGGGGUGUGAAGAAGCCCGGAGACUCUCUCCGCCUCUCCUGCAAAGCCUCCGGGUUCACCUUCAGCAGCGCCUACAUGCACUGGGUCCGCCAGGCUCCCGGGAAGGGGCUGGAGUGGGUCGCUUAUAUAAGAUACGAUGGGAGUAGUAUAUACUACCUCGAUGCAGUGAAAGGGCGAUUCACCAUCUCCAGGGAUAACGCCAAGAGUGAGCUGUAUCUGCAAAUGACCGGCCUGAAGCCCGAGGACACCGCCCGCUAUUACUGUGCGGGAGACACAGUGACACCAAACCGGUUUGUGAUCGUACAAAAACCCAGGCUGCGGAAUCGCCCUUCUCCCGGCGGCCGCGCGGGGGCAGCAGCGACACCCCCCGCUUCGGGCUCGGGCAGGAGACCCGGCACCCGGGGGAACGGGACACAAACCUCCCGCCAGUUUAACCCUUCCGUUCCCGGGCAAUGUGUCUCCCCUUCCUGCCCAGAGCCCCGCUGAGUGCAGAGAUCCCUCGCUUCAUCUGUGAACUCCAAUCCGGAGUGAGUCCUGUUCUGAGUCGCUCUCCCCCCGCAGACCCGGUAUGUUGGCUCCCGCUGGGCCAGUCUCGGUGUCAGACUCACAGGCCAGCGUCUCUCAGUGU